RNAcentral lists this ribosomal RNA (489 nucleotides) under uncultured bacterium. Its description in RNAcentral is "partial 16S ribosomal RNA". It matches the Rfam family "Bacterial small subunit ribosomal RNA", at positions 30 to 506 of the family's 1533-position model. The record is from RNAcentral.
AUUGAACGCUGGCGGCAGGCCUAACACAUGCAAGUCGAACGGUAACAGGAAACAGCUUGCUGUUUCGCUGACGAGUGGCGGACGGGUGAGUAAUGUCUGGGAAACUGCCUGAUGGAGGGGGAUAACUACUGGAAACGGUAGCUAAUACCGCAUAACGUCGCAAGACCAAAGAGGGGGACCCUCGGGCCUCUUGCCAUCGGAUGUGCCCAGAUGGGAUUAGCUUGUUGGUGGGGUAACGGCUCACCAAGGCGACGAUCCCUAGCUGGUCUGAGAGGAUGACCAGCCACACUGGAACUGAGACACGGUCCAGACUCCUACGGGAGGCAGCAGUGGGGAAUAUUGCACAAUGGGCGCAAGCCUGAUGCAGCCAUGCGGCGUGUAUGAAGAAGGCCUUCGGGUUGUAAAGUACUUUCAGCGGGGAGGAAGGGAGUAAAGUUAAUACCUUUGCUCAUUGACGUUACCCGCAGAAGAAGCACCGGCUAACUCCGU